RNAcentral lists this ribosomal RNA (2933 nucleotides) under Escherichia coli. RNAcentral's name for it is "bacterial LSU rRNA". It matches the Rfam family "Bacterial large subunit ribosomal RNA". The record is from RNAcentral. Lineage: Bacteria; Pseudomonadati; Pseudomonadota; Gammaproteobacteria; Enterobacterales; Enterobacteriaceae.
GGGUUGUGAGGUUAAGCGACUAAGCGUACACGGUGGAUGCCCAGGCAGUCAGAGGCGAUGAAGGACGUGCUAAUCUGCGAUAAGCGUCGGUAAGGUGAUAUGAACCGUUAUAACCGGCGAUUUCCGAAUGGGGAAACCCAGUGUGUUUCGACACACUAUCAUUAACUGAAUCCAUAGGUUAAUGAGGCGAACCGGGGGAACUGAAACAUCUAAGUACCCCGAGGAAAAGAAAUCAACCGAGAUUCCCCCAGUAGCGGCGAGCGAACGGGGAGCAGCCCAGAGCCUGAAUCAGUGUGUGUGUUAGUGGAAGCGUCUGGAAAGGCGCGCGAUACAGGGUGACAGCCCCGUACACAAAAAUGCACAUGCUGUGAGCUCGAUGAGUAGGGCGGGACACGUGGUAUCCUGUCUGAAUAUGGGGGGACCAUCCUCCAAGGCUAAAUACUCCUGACUGACCGAUAGUGAACCAGUACCGUGAGGGAAAGGCGAAAAGAACCCCGGCGAGGGGAGUGAAAAAGAACCUGAAACCGUGUACGUACAAGCAGUGGGAGCACGCUUAGGCGUGUGACUGCGUACCUUUUGUAUAAUGGGUCAGCGACUUAUAUUCUGUAGCAAGGUUAACCGAAUAGGGGAGCCGAAGGGAAACCGAGUCUUAACUGGGCGUUAAGUUGCAGGGUAUAGACCCGAAACCCGGUGAUCUAGCCAUGGGCAGGUUGAAGGUUGGGUAACACUAACUGGAGGACCGAACCGACUAAUGUUGAAAAAUUAGCGGAUGACUUGUGGCUGGGGGUGAAAGGCCAAUCAAACCGGGAGAUAGCUGGUUCUCCCCGAAAGCUAUUUAGGUAGCGCCUCGUGAAUUCAUCUCCGGGGGUAGAGCACUGUUUCGGCAAGGGGGUCAUCCCGACUUACCAACCCGAUGCAAACUGCGAAUACCGGAGAAUGUUAUCACGGGAGACACACGGCGGGUGCUAACGUCCGUCGUGAAGAGGGAAACAACCCAGACCGCCAGCUAAGGUCCCAAAGUCAUGGUUAAGUGGGAAACGAUGUGGGAAGGCCCAGACAGCCAGGAUGUUGGCUUAGAAGCAGCCAUCAUUUAAAGAAAGCGUAAUAGCUCACUGGUCGAGUCGGCCUGCGCGGAAGAUGUAACGGGGCUAAACCAUGCACCGAAGCUGCGGCAGCGACGCUUAUGCGUUGUUGGGUAGGGGAGCGUUCUGUAAGCCUGUGAAGGUGUGCUGUGAGGCAUGCUGGAGGUAUCAGAAGUGCGAAUGCUGACAUAAGUAACGAUAAAGCGGGUGAAAAGCCCGCUCGCCGGAAGACCAAGGGUUCCUGUCCAACGUUAAUCGGGGCAGGGUGAGUCGACCCCUAAGGCGAGGCCGAAAGGCGUAGUCGAUGGGAAACAGGUUAAUAUUCCUGUACUUGGUGUUACUGCGAAGGGGGGACGGAGAAGGCUAUGUUGGCCGGGCGACGGUUGUCCCGGUUUAAGCGUGUAGGCUGGUUUUCCAGGCAAAUCCGGAAAAACAAGGCUGAGGCGUGAUGACGAGGCACUACGGUGCUGAAGCAACAAAUGCCCUGCUUCCAGGAAAAGCCUCUAAGCAUCAGGUAACAUCAAAUCGUACCCCAAACCGACACAGGUGGUCAGGUAGAGAAUACCAAGGCGCUUGAGAGAACUCGGGUGAAGGAACUAGGCAAAAUGGUGCCGUAACUUCGGGAGAAGGCACGCUGAUAUGUAGGUGAAGUCCCUCGCGGAUGGAGCUGAAAUCAGUCGAAGAUACCAGCUGGCUGCAACUGUUUAUUAAAAACACAGCACUGUGCAAACACGAAAGUGGACGUAUACGGUGUGACGCCUGCCCGGUGCCGGAAGGUUAAUUGAUGGGGUUAGCCGCAAGGCGAAGCUCUUGAUCGAAGCCCCGGUAAACGGCGGCCGUAACUAUAACGGUCCUAAGGUAGCGAAAUUCCUUGUCGGGUAAGUUCCGACCUGCACGAAUGGCGUAAUGAUGGCCAGGCUGUCUCCACCCGAGACUCAGUGAAAUUGAACUCGCUGUGAAGAUGCAGUGUACCCGCGGCAAGACGGAAAGACCCCGUGAACCUUUACUAUAGCUUGACACUGAACAUUGAGCCUUGAUGUGUAGGAUAGGUGGGAGGCUUAGAAGUGUGGACGCCAGUCUGCAUGGAGCCGACCUUGAAAUACCACCCUUUAAUGUUUGAUGUUCUAACGUUGACCCGUAAUCCGGGUUGCGGACAGUGUCUGGUGGGUAGUUUGACUGGGGCGGUCUCCUCCUAAAGAGUAACGGAGGAGCACGAAGGUUGGCUAAUCCUGGUCGGACAUCAGGAGGUUAGUGCAAUGGCAUAAGCCAGCUUGACUGCGAGCGUGACGGCGCGAGCAGGUGCGAAAGCAGGUCAUAGUGAUCCGGUGGUUCUGAAUGGAAGGGCCAUCGCUCAACGGAUAAAAGGUACUCCGGGGAUAACAGGCUGAUACCGCCCAAGAGUUCAUAUCGACGGCGGUGUUUGGCACCUCGAUGUCGGCUCAUCACAUCCUGGGGCUGAAGUAGGUCCCAAGGGUAUGGCUGUUCGCCAUUUAAAGUGGUACGCGAGCUGGGUUUAGAACGUCGUGAGACAGUUCGGUCCCUAUCUGCCGUGGGCGCUGGAGAACUGAGGGGGGCUGCUCCUAGUACGAGAGGACCGGAGUGGACGCAUCACUGGUGUUCGGGUUGUCAUGCCAAUGGCACUGCCCGGUAGCUAAAUGCGGAAGAGAUAAGUGCUGAAAGCAUCUAAGCACGAAACUUGCCCCGAGAUGAGUUCUCCCUGACUCCUUGAGAGUCCUGAAGGAACGUUGAAGACGACGACGUUGAUAGGCCGGGUGUGUAAGCGCAGCGAUGCGUUGAGCUAACCGGUACUAAUGAACCGUGAGGCUUAACCUUACAACGCCGAAGGUGUUU